AAGGUGGAAAAGUGGAAAAUAUAAUUAAAAAAUUAUAAAUAGUUAAUUUCAAAACCGAGCAACCCAAGAAAAUCCUUCACUCUAGUAAAACUCCUUCUAGAGCGAAAAAAAUUAACCAUGUCCAUGGUAUUCGAUGAAUUCGGUCGGCCCUUCGUCAUUUUGAGGGAGCAA
This 171-nucleotide non-coding RNA is filed under the name Corethron pennatum. The record is from RNAcentral. Lineage: Eukaryota; Bacillariophyta; Corethrophyceae; Corethrales; Corethraceae.